GCUGGGAUGGUGGAACUGGUAUACACGCAAGACUUAAAAUUUUGUGGGCGCAAGCCCAUGCGGGUUCGACUCCCGCUCCCAGCACCA
Molecule: transfer RNA, 87 nt
Filed under: Parcubacteria group bacterium
Lineage: Bacteria
Also listed under: 1 other name
Description: tRNA-Leu
Rfam family: tRNA
About the family: Transfer RNA (tRNA) molecules are approximately 80 nucleotides in length. Their secondary structure includes four short double-helical elements and three loops (D, anti-codon, and T loops).
Source: RNAcentral